Molecule: long non-coding RNA, 3526 nt
Filed under: Daucus carota (carrot)
Lineage: Eukaryota; Viridiplantae; Streptophyta; Magnoliopsida; Apiales; Apiaceae
Description: long non-coding RNA (DCAR_LNC006876)
Source: RNAcentral
UUGUGUUAUCAAUUCCCAUUUGUUAUGGGUUUUAUACUGAUUGAAUUAUAUAAAAUGGUGUAUUGCAUAUAAAAUCAUUUUUUAUCACUUUAUAAUUUCAUUAAAUAUUUUUAGAGAUUUAUAAAAUUCAUAAAAUGAUAUUUCGAUAAUUAUUCAGUUCUAAAUGAUUUUCAGUGUAGUUUCAAGUGGGGUGUUUCUGUUAAUUUCAAAAAUGAUCCAAAAAUCGUGGAAAUCAUAUUUUAUUAGUUUUUAAUUAUGUUGAGAUUUUAAAAAUUAUUUUGGUAUUUAUCUGGAUCAUUUUUAUCUGUGAUUUUGUUCGCUAAUCUGUCAAAUUCAGUCUGAGACCAAGCUGGCAGGGGUACGUGUCAAUUGCUUUGAUACGUGUCUUGCGUGAAAUCAGUUUUUAUAAACUGAUUUACUUUCUUUUCUUUUACAAUCUCUCACCGCCUCUUCUCUCUCCUAAAAUCUCUCCACCGUCUCUCUCUUUCUCUCUAAUCUCUCUCUGCACACCCAUCUCCCCCAAAUCUCUCGCUCUCUCCUGCUCCCUCGCACUCUCCUUGCCCUCUCUCUCUCCCGGGUGUCGCUGCAGUGUUCUUAGCCACCGCUGCUCUGUUUUCCGGCCGCCCAUCGCCGCUCGUGCUCCGAUUCCGGCACCACCAGCUCGUCCCCUCUCUUUUCCCCUCAUUCCCCUGCCUCCCUUUGCUUUGCUGCUGUGCCUGUGCAUCUGUAUGUGUGUAUUUCGAGUGUGUGUAUUAGUGUGUGCCACGAGGCUAUGUGUGUGCGCGAUUAUGUGGUCUGGUGUGGGUGUGUGUGUGUAUAUUCUGGUGUCCGUGUGCGGAAUCAGUGUGUGGGUGCUCAGUAUGCGUGCGUGUGUGCAGGUGGGUAUAUGUAUUUGUGUGUGGGCCCGAGUUGGCCGAGUUUUGACUACCUGGCUGUGUAGAUUAUUCGAGUGGCUCGAGUCCUGAAUUGAUUUUCUUAUACGUGUUUAUUUAUUAUUUCAUUUGCUGGUUCGUUUGACUGAUUAUCGAGGUUAGUUAGUAUUUAUAAAUUAAGUAUUUCGAUUAUUUCAGAGAUUGAUUACAGGUUUGUUGGGAUUGUUGUGUCGAUAUGAUAUCGACUGGUAGUCCGAUAAAUAGAGGAGGUGCUGCCCAAUUUUAAAUAAAAUUUAGAUUUUAAAAUUAUACGGGAGCGUAUCCUAUAAUUAUCAGGCUAUUAAUCGAAUUUAUAUAGUUACUGAUUCGUGAUAUUAUUAUUAAAUCUAUAAAUAAUAUUUAUGUGAUUUGGUAGUCAUAGCAUUAUUAUUAAUGUUAAUGUGUGAAACUGUGUUUACUUGGUAAUUUUAGGAUGUCGAAUAUUAAUAAAUAUUAGUAUUAUUCUUUAUUAUUAUUAUUGCUUGCACUAGUAGUAAUAAUAGUAAAUGAUAAUAUUAAUAAUAUAAAUAUGCGAUAUCUUAAAUAGUUAUAAUGCUAUGCUUAUUUAAUUCAACUUGUAUAUAUUUGAUUUGAAUAGUAUCUAAAUUGAGUAUUAUGGUAAGUGGUAAGUAAAUGUAUGGAAAUAUGUGAUACGUGCUAAGUGCUACGUGUUAAAUGUUAGAGUGUUAUUCUUGAUAGUAUAAUGUAUUAAUAUUGAAUUACUUUCCAUUUUAAAGAUAAGCUGUUAGUUUCUUUCAAUCAUUAUGUGUUUAGGUGCCGCAUGUCUGGGCGGAUUAUUUAUCAUUAUGUGUUAGGUGCCGCAUGUCGGGGCGGGUACUUUUCUUAUGUGAUUUACUGCAUGUCGAGGCAGAUAUUCUUUAUAUUAGUAUUUUAUUUAGUUUAAAGAGCUUGAUUUAAUUGAUUUGAAAACAGGGGGAUAGUCCUAUUUACGAAUAGGUCAUGCCGAAUUUUCUGUAGAAAUAUUAACUUAAAACGCGUUCUCGUGUUGAAUAAUAUUCAGAGAUGGUUGUAAGUUAUAAAACUAUAACGUGUGCUACUUGUUAUGUGCUAUAUAAUGUGCCAUGUAUAUAUUUGUGUAUAUAUAUAUCACGAAAGGGUAGAAAUAGGAUAGUCGUUUCGGAAGGAUACUAAAGUAGUAUCUGUUUGCUUAUAAUAGGAUCGAGCAUUGAGGGCGUGAUACCAAGCAAGGGCAGAAAAUGUGAGAGUUGUAUAGCGGUUCAGUAGCUACGGAUUGUUCGAGACGAGUAGAACCAGACGUUGGGGAUCAAGACUGAAGUUAGAUAAGAUGUCGUAUCAGGCUGCAGCAACCGCAUGAGCGACAUAGCAAAGAAUCAGGAAUAGUUGAUGGUGAUGUCUUGAGAAAGCAGAAUAAGAUAAGGAUGUUAGCUAAGAGUGUAUAAGCUAAGGACCAAAGGCAAGUAUUCCCAUUCCUCUCUUGUAUAUUUGAAAGUGCAAGUAUCCCUAUCUUCACUUAUUGUUCAAGUGAAAUUUUCUUCAAAUCCUAUUAUGCAAGUAUCUUGAAACCUUCUUUUAGAUAUAUUGCAAGUACUCUGGAACUUCCUUGAUAUAUUGCAAGUACCCCUGACAAUACUCUUGCUGGUUCGAGAUUACUAUAUAUGGAGUAAUGUAGAGCAAGAAUGCAUGUCUUUGUUCAAAUAGAUUCUAAAUAAUUGAAUGUUUUAAGUUACGUAUUCCCCUCGUUUCUAUGGAUUUAAUAUCUUUUAAAUUUAGUUUUAGCUGCCAAAGGCCAAUGUGUUGCCUUAUAUUUGGUACCUGUGAAUUAGGACAUGCUUCUACGAAGUGUGAUCCCGUACUAUUACACGUGCUGAUCAGCUGUGAUAGUACACCCGUCAGUGGAAGUUUCAAUCAAAAUUUAUGAUUUGAUUACUUAAGCUAAUAUUGCUUUUGUUUUCCAUUGGAUACUACUGUUUCUUAUCUCUUUACUUCCAGAAGGAUAGCACUUAUUAAUGCUUUACAUUUAAGUAUUUUAUAUAUAUAUUGUUGAGCCUUCUAGUUGCUCAUUCUUCCUUGUUGUUGCUGUGCUAAUCUUUGAGUUACAACUGUUAUGAUUUACUUCAAAAGUCUGCUUUAUUUCAAAUACUCUGAUUUCAUUCAAAAGAAAUUAUAUCUUGUGGCUCUUGCCUUUCUUAUUAUCUUGUUGAGCAUUUUCGCUCACUCUUGCUAUUAUUUCUAACCCUUUCAGCUAGGGAUUGAGAUGUCACCUGUAUAAGCUGCGCGUAAGAUUGAUGCUAGGCGAGAUUGCCAGGGAGAUGUUUACAAGAGUAGUUCUAGUUAGAAUUGUUCUAUUUCAGUUCAGUUGUAAAUAGACUUAUUUAUUUGGUUAUCAGUUACUCUUCUUAUCGAGGUUUAACUGAUAAUGUAGUUUAAGUUGUAAUAAGAUUUUAAGUUUUGGUUUCUGAUUUCAGUACUGUAACCUAUUAGCGAUCCUGUUUUUAGGGGGGUCAAAGUGAUUUUGAUUUAAAUCUCUUUUAAAAUUUCCAGAUUUUGAAAUAUCUGUUUUACCUUCUUCCGCAAAUAUAGGUUUUUAAAUGAUUUUGUUUUAGUGGCACCAAAUCCAGACCCCCGGAUUUGAG